Molecule: ribosomal RNA, 777 nt
Filed under: uncultured Neocallimastigales
Lineage: Eukaryota; Fungi; Neocallimastigomycota; Neocallimastigomycetes; Neocallimastigales
Description: partial large subunit ribosomal RNA
Rfam family: Eukaryotic large subunit ribosomal RNA
Source: RNAcentral
GUACACGCUGUGACUAGCAUAUCAAUAAGCGGAGGAAAAGAAACUAACAAGGAUUCCCUCAGUAACGGCGAGUGAAGCGGGAAGAGCUCAAAUUUGAAAUCUUGAAAGGUCUACCUUGCACGAAUUGUAGUUUAAAGAAGUGUUUUCUGUUGACGAUCUGGUAUAUAAGUUCUUUGGAAUAGGACAUCAUCAGAGGGUGAGAAUCCCGUCUAUGACAUUGCGAUUUGUAGCUUUGUGAUACACUUUCAAAGAGUCGGAUUGUUUGGGAAUGCAGCCCAAAGCGGGAGGUAAAUUUCUUCUAAGGCUAAAUAUUGGCGAGAGACCGAUAGCGAACAAGUACCGUGAGGGAAAGAUGAAAAGAACUUUGAAAAGAGAGUUAAAUAGUACGUGAAAUUGUCAAAAGGGAAGCGUUUGACACCAGUGUUGUUUUUCUGAAAAUCAACCUCUGUUAGCUUUAUGCAUGUUUGUUUAGACCUAAUCAGCUAUCUUGCAUGUUCUAUUGUUUGCAGUGGUGCACUUUUCAGUUUACAGGUCAACAUCAGUUUUUUUUACCGUAAAAAAGUUAAAGAAAGGUAGCUCAUGGCUCCGGUCGUGAGUGUUAUAGUCUUUUUCCUAUGCGGUAGGAGAGACUGAGGUCUGCAGUGUAGGCUAUUUGGCUAGAUACUCAGGUGCUAUGUGAUACCAUUUCAUAAACAACUUGUUGAUUAUGUUUUGUCUAUUGCAUACUCGCUUGUACUAUCAUACCUACGCUUAGGAUGUUGAACUACUGAGACAUAG